RNAcentral lists this ribosomal RNA (447 nucleotides) under uncultured bacterium. RNAcentral's name for it is "bacterial SSU rRNA". It matches the Rfam family "Bacterial small subunit ribosomal RNA", at positions 329 to 793 of the family's 1533-position model. The record is from RNAcentral.
UUCCAGACUCCUACGGGAGGCAGCAGUGGGGAGUAUUGCACAAUGGGGGAAACCCUGAUGCAGCGACGCCGCGUGAGCGAUGAAGUAUUUCGGUAUGUAAAGCUCUAUCAGCAGGGAAGAAAAUGACGGUACCUGACUAAGAAGCCCUGGCUAACUACGUGCCAGCAGCCGCGGUAAUACGUAGGGGGCAAGCGUUAUCCGGAUUUACUGGGUGUAAAGGGAGCGUAGACGGUCCUGCAAGCCAGAUGUGAAAGCCCGGGGCUCAACCCCGGGACUGCAUUUGGAACUGCGUGGCUGGAGUGCAGGAGGGGCAGGCGGAAUUCCUGGUGUAGCGGUGAAAUGCGUAGAUAUCAGGAGGAACACCGGCGGCGAAGGCGGCCUGCUGGACCGCGACUGACGUUGAGGCUCGAAAGCGUGGGGAGCGAACAGGAUUAGAUACCCCGGUAC